This is a long non-coding RNA of Hypanus sabinus (Atlantic stingray), 901 nucleotides long. RefSeq lists it as uncharacterized. NCBI's taxonomy places the organism in Eukaryota, Metazoa, Chordata, Chondrichthyes, Myliobatiformes, Dasyatidae. The transcript has 3 exons. The record is from RefSeq and is a predicted model, not a curated record.
CAGAGAUCGGCGCUGCUCUCUCGGGAUGUCGGGACUGGCCUUCGCAGCUCUCGUUCUUUGUCUCCACAUAACGGCGGUUGUGAAAUACGGUUCCGUCUGGGCAGACAUUGACUGUUUGGGAAAUUUGGACCUGAUGUUUGAAAGUUGUAUGUGGAACUGAAGCGGCAAAUGGCAAAGCAGAGAGCCCAGCCUCCGUUUCCAGCACAGGAUUUUCCGGAGCCUACGCAACUUCCGGACUUCAAUGGUUGCUGGUUACAGGGGCACGAGCCACGGCUUCUGCAAAUAUAAUGGCAUUGCUCCUUGUUACCGGAGUCCCAUCAUAUCAGCUGGGGCUCUGUAGUUCAAGUUACGAUCGUGACCCGCAGAUUGGUCUUCACGACAAACGGAUAGCUGCUUACGAACAGGAGGGCGGCUUCCGUUCCGCGACGUCAUGGAGGGGGGAGUAAGGGGUCUGACGUUUCUCGAUUAACAGAGACUCUGUUCCUGCACUGUACCGCUCUAUGGGUGAUACUAAACUAUUUCCACUAGAGGGCAGUCACGAACAAAGCGACAUAGUCACCAAAUAAAUGUUCUGCCUUUGAGGAGCUGGGUUUUCGGACAAGUUUUCACUCGGAGGGCGGGAAAUCUCUGAAACUCUUUACCCACGACCGAGAUCGGGGCAUGAUCGUUGGACAUACUUAUGGUGGAAAUUGAUAAAUAUUGGAAAGACAGGGAAUUGGACGGAGGAGCUUAAGGCUACACAGUUGAACCAUGAUCAACUGAUGGCGGCGGAGUCCGGAAGAUCAGAGUAGACAAAACAAACGGAAAUUGGGAUGAAUGCCGACAAUUCCACUUGUUAAUUAACUUCAAUUGAUUUACUGACAAGUUAACAUGUGACCUCUGAGGAACGGUAAAUCUUCUG